GACGAACCGUGCAAACGUUGUUCGGAAUCACUGGGCUUAAAGGGCGCGUAGGCGGCUCGCCAAGUCGGGGGUGAAAUCUUUCGGCUUAACCGGAAAAGUGCCUUCGAUACUGGCGGGCUUGAGCGAGGUAGGGGCAUGUGGAACUUCCGGUGGAGCGGUGAAAUGCGUUGAUAUCGGAAGGAACGCCGGUGGCGAAAGCGACGUGCUGGACCGCUUCUGACGCUGAGGCGCGAAAGCUAGGGUAGCGAACGGG
This 253-nucleotide ribosomal RNA is filed under the name uncultured bacterium. RNAcentral's name for it is "partial 16S ribosomal RNA". It matches the Rfam family "Bacterial small subunit ribosomal RNA", at positions 524 to 776 of the family's 1533-position model. The record is from RNAcentral.